UACGUAUUGAGCAAGCGUUAUCCGGAUUUACUGGGUGUAAAGGGAGCGCAGGCGGCUUUGCAAGUCUGAUGUGAAAGGCCGGGGCUCAACCCCGGGACUGCAUUGGAAACUGUAAAGCUAGAGUGCCGGAGAGGUAAGCGGAAUUCCUAGUGUAGCGGUGAAAUGCGUAGAUAUUAGGAGGAACACCAGUGGCGAAGGCGGCUUACUGGACGGCAACUGACGCUGAGGCUCGAAAGCGUGGGGAGCAAACAGG
This 253-nucleotide ribosomal RNA is filed under the name uncultured bacterium. Its description in RNAcentral is "partial 16S ribosomal RNA". It matches the Rfam family "Bacterial small subunit ribosomal RNA", at positions 524 to 776 of the family's 1533-position model. The record is from RNAcentral.